Molecule: ribosomal RNA, 253 nt
Filed under: uncultured bacterium
Lineage: Bacteria
Description: partial 16S ribosomal RNA
Rfam family: Bacterial small subunit ribosomal RNA
Source: RNAcentral
UACAGAGGGUGCAAGCGUUGUUCGGAAUUAUUGGGCGUAAAGGGUGCGUAGGUGGCGUGGCAAGUCAGAUGUGAAAGCCCGGGGCUCAACCUCGGAAUUGCAUCCGAUACUGCCAUGCUGGAGUACUGAAGAGGUGACUAGAAUUCUCGGUGUAGCAGUGAAAUGCGUAGAUAUCGAGAGGAAUACCAAAGGCGAAGGCAGGUCACUGGGCAGUUACUGACACUGAGGCACGAAGGCCAGGGGAGCAAACGGG